This 253-nucleotide ribosomal RNA is filed under the name uncultured bacterium. RNAcentral's name for it is "partial 16S ribosomal RNA". It matches the Rfam family "Bacterial small subunit ribosomal RNA", at positions 524 to 776 of the family's 1533-position model. The record is from RNAcentral.
UACAGGGGGGGCAAGCGUUGUUCGGAAUUACUGGGCGUAAAGGGUUCGUAGGUGGCUUGCUAAGUCACACGUGAAAUCCCUCAGCUUAACUGGGGAACUGCGUGUGAAACUGGCGAGCUUGAGGGUAGGAGAGGAAUGCGGAAUUCCAGGUGUAGCGGUGAAAUGCGCAGAUAUCAGGAGGAACACCGGUGGCGAAGGCGGGUCUCUGGGCCGAUACUGACGCUGAGGAGCGAAAGCGUGGGGAGCGAACAAG